This 402-nucleotide ribosomal RNA is filed under the name uncultured bacterium. RNAcentral's name for it is "partial 16S ribosomal RNA". It matches the Rfam family "Bacterial small subunit ribosomal RNA", at positions 355 to 774 of the family's 1533-position model. The record is from RNAcentral.
UGGGGAAUAUUGGACAAUGGGCGCAAGCCUGAUCCAACCAUGCCGCGUGAGUGAUGAAGGCCUUAGGGUUGUAAAGCUCUUUCACCGAUGAAGAUAAUGACGGUAGUCGGAGAAGAAGCCCCGGCUAACUUCGUGCCAGCAGCCGCGGUAAUACGAAGGGGGCUAGCGUUGUUCGGAAUUACUGGGCGUAAAGCGCAUGUAGGCGGAUAUUUAAGUCAGGGGUGAAAUCCCAGAGCUCAACUCUGGAACUGCCUUUGAUACUGGGUAUCUUGAGUAUGGAAGAGGUAAGUGGAAUUCCGAGUGUAGAGGUGAAAUUCGUAGAUAUUCGGAGGAACACCAGUGGCGAAGGCGGCUUACUGGUCCAUUACUGACGCUGAGGUGCGAAAGCGUGGGGAGCAAACA